Molecule: ribosomal RNA, 467 nt
Filed under: uncultured bacterium
Lineage: Bacteria
Description: partial 16S ribosomal RNA
Rfam family: Bacterial small subunit ribosomal RNA
Source: RNAcentral
GAUGAACGCUGGCGGCGUGCUUAACACAUGCAAGUCGAACGGAAAGGCCCAAGCUUGCUUGGGUACUCGAGUGGCGAACGGGUGAGUAACACGUGGGUGAUCUGCCCUGCACUUCGGGAUAAGCCUGGGAAACUGGGUCUAAUACCGGAUAGGACCACAUUUUGGAUGGUGUGGUGGAAAGUUUUUCGGUGUGGGAUGAGCUCGCGGCCUAUCAGCUUGUUGGUGGGGUAAUGGCCUACCAAGGCGUCGACGGGUAGCCGGCCUGAGAGGGUGUACGGCCACAUUGGGACUGAGAUACGGCCCAGACUCCUACGGGAGGCAGCAGUGGGGAAUAUUGCACAAUGGGCGCAAGCCUGAUGCAGCGACGCCGCGUGGGGGAUGACGGCCUUCGGGUUGUAAACUCCUUUCGCUAGGGACGAAGCGUUUUUGUGACGGUACCCGGAGAAGAAGCACCGGCUAACUACGUG